CACAGCUGUACCAGAACAGAUGUUCACAUCACAGUGCUCAGGGAACUUAGCAGGAGUGACAAGACCAUCGCAGGACGAGUGUGUGUUCAGUAGUGUUAUCACAGGGCGUGUGUGUGUUCAGUAGUGUAAUCACAGUACGUGUGUGUGUGUUCAUGUAAUCACAGGGCGUGUGUGUUCAGUAGUGUAAUCACAGGGCGUGUGUGUGUUCAGUAGUGUAAUCGCAGGGCGUGUGUGUGUUCAGUAGUGUAAUCACAGGGCGUGUGUGUUUCAUAGUGUAAUCACAGGGCGUGUGUGUUCAGUAGUGUAAUCACAGGGCGUGUGUGUGUUCAGUAGUGUAAUCACAGGGCGUGUGUGUGUUCAGUAGUGUAAUCACAUUACAUAUGGAAUUAAUUUAACACAAAGCAUUGGAUGCUCUCAACACAACUCCUCUUACUCAACAGAAAUUCUUCUUCAUGACCGUACACACGACACAUUCACAGGUAACUGAACACUCUUACCUCACAAGUCG
Ictalurus punctatus (channel catfish) is the source of this 508-nucleotide long non-coding RNA. NCBI's taxonomy places the organism in Eukaryota, Metazoa, Chordata, Actinopteri, Siluriformes, Ictaluridae. The record is from Ensembl.